This is a long non-coding RNA of Oncorhynchus keta (chum salmon), 1298 nucleotides long. RefSeq lists it as uncharacterized. The transcript is spliced from 6 exons. The record is from RefSeq and is a predicted model, not a curated record. Lineage: Eukaryota; Metazoa; Chordata; Actinopteri; Salmoniformes; Salmonidae.
UCUCUAUUCUCCUACUAAUCUCACUGUAACCCCCUCCAGGUCUCUGUUCACCUACUAAUCUCACUGUAACCCCCUCCAGGUCUCUGUUCUCCUACUAAUCUCACUGUAACCCCCUCCAGGUCUCUGUUCUCCUACUAAUCUCACUGUAACCCCCUCCAGGUCUCUGUUCUCCUACUAAUCUCACUGUGACCUCCUCCAGGUCUCUGUUCCCCUACUAAUCUCACUGUGACCCCCUCCAGGUCUCUGUUCUCCUACUAAUCUCACUGUAACCCCCUCCAGGUCUCUGUUCUCCUACUAAUCUCACUGUAACCCCCUCCAGGUCUCUGUUCUCCUACUAAUCUCACUGUAACCUCCUCCAGGUCUCUGUUCUCCUACUAAUCUCACUGUAACCCCCUCCAGGUCUCUGUUCACCUACUAAUCUCACUGUAACCCCCUCCAGGUCUCUGUUCUCCUACUAAUCUCACUGUAACCCCCUCCAGGUCUCUGUUCUCCUACUAAUCUCACUGUAACCCCCUCCAGGUCUCUGUUCUCCUACUAAUCUCACUGUGACCUCCUCCAGGUCUCUGUUCCCCUACUAAUCUCACUGUGACCCCCUCCAGGUCUCUGUUCUCCUACUAAUCUCACUGUAACCCCCUCCAGGUCUCUGUUCUCCUACUAAUCUCACUGUAACCCCCUCCAGGUCUCUGUUCUCCUACUAAUCUCACUGUAACCUCCUCCAGGUCUCUGUUCUCCUACUAAUCUCACUGUAACCCCCUCCAGGUCUCUGUUCACCUACUAAUCUCACUGUAACCCCCUCCAGGUCUCUGUUCUCCUACUAAUCUCACUGUAACCCCCUCCAGGUCUCUGUUCUCCUACUAAUCUCACUGUAACCCCCUCCAGGUCUCUGUUCUCCUACUAAUCUCACUGUAACCUCCUCCAGGUCUCUGUUCUCCUACUAAUCUCACUGUAACCCCCUCCAGGUCUCUGUUCUCCUACUAAUCUCACUGUAACCCCCUCCAGGUCUCUGUUCUCCUACUAAUCUCACUGUGACCUCCUCCAGGUCUCUGUUCCCCUACUAAUCUCACUGUGACCCCCUCCAGGUCUCUGUUCUCCUACUAAUCUCACUGUAACCCCCUCCAGGUCUCUGUUCUCCUACUAAUCUCACUGUAACCCCCUCCAGGUCUCUGUUCUCCUACUAAUCUCACUGUAACCUCCUCCAGGUCUCUGUUCUCCUACUAAUCUCACUGUAACCCCCUCCAGGUCUCUGUUCUCCUACUAAUCUCACUGUGACCUCCUCCAGGUCUCUGUUCCCCUACUAA